GUUGUGGAUGAACGGACGAAGCUUCUAGUUCAGGCAGCAUCACUGAUAGCUGUGAUUCAGGCCUGGAUCAUGUUGGUCCAUAAGAGAGUUGUUCGGGGAGAGAAACCUCUCAUCAGGAAUGGUCCGAUGUUAAUCCGGGAUCAGGAGAGGAUAGCAAAUCUGAACUACAUCUACAACUGCAACGACACAGAGGCUCUGUGGAUGCUUCGAAUGAGAAGAGAAGCUUUCGCUAGGCUUGUGCAGGCGUUCAGAGCAGGGGGGCUGCUAGAAGAUAGCAUCCACACCACUGUGGAAGAGCAAGUGGCCAUGUUCCUCCAUGUUGGUUAUAACCAGAGGUUCAGGGUUGUAUACAACACCUUCAGGAGAUCAAUGGAGACCAUCUCUAGGUACUUGAAGCAAGUGAUGUAUGUUGUUGGGGAGCUCAGAGGAGAGAUGAUCAGGUCACCAACCGACCGAAUUUCUACCAAGAUUCGCCCUAGCCCAAGAUGGUAUCCAUACUUCAAGGUGAGCACUGACAGUAUGUAG
Molecule: ribosomal RNA, 525 nt
Filed under: Triticum aestivum (bread wheat)
Lineage: Eukaryota; Viridiplantae; Streptophyta; Magnoliopsida; Poales; Poaceae
Description: partial small subunit ribosomal RNA
Source: RNAcentral